Helianthus annuus (common sunflower) is the source of this 128-nucleotide long non-coding RNA. RefSeq lists it as uncharacterized. The record is from RefSeq and is a predicted model, not a curated record. The transcript is spliced from 3 exons. Lineage: Eukaryota; Viridiplantae; Streptophyta; Magnoliopsida; Asterales; Asteraceae.
AGCCCAAUGAAAGAUUCUCCGAAGACGGACAGUGGAAGUGUAGAGAUCAUUUCAUAUGGACAGUAUUUUAGUCCAUUCAAAUCUGAAAUGCAUAGGGAGGUUAUUGAACAGUUUCAGAACAUAGAAAA